Molecule: ribosomal RNA, 497 nt
Filed under: uncultured bacterium
Lineage: Bacteria
Description: partial 16S ribosomal RNA
Rfam family: Bacterial small subunit ribosomal RNA
Source: RNAcentral
GAUGAACGCUGGCGGCGUGCCUAAUACAUGCAAGUCGAGCGAACAGAUGAGGAGCUUGCUCCUCUGACGUUAGCGGCGGACGGGUGAGUAGCACGUGGAUAACCUACCUAUAAGACUGGGAUAACUUCGGGAAACCGGAUCUAAUACCGGAUAAUAUAUUGAACCGCAUGGUUCAUUAGUGAAAUACGGCUUUGCUGUCACUUAUAGCUGGAUCUGCGCCGCAUUAGCUAGUUGGUAAGUUAACGGCUUACCAAGGCAACGAUGCGUAGCCGACCUGAGAGAGUGGUCGGCGGCACUGGAGCUGGGACACGGUCCAGACGCCUGCGAGAGGCAGCAGUAGGGAAUCUGCCGCAGUGGGCGGAAGCCUGGCGGAGCGAGGCCAAGUGAGUGGUAGAGGUCUUCGGAUCGUGAAACUCGGUUAUUAGGGAAGAACAAAUGUGUAAGUAAAUAUACACGUCUUGACGGUACCUAAUCAGAAAGCAACGGCUAACUACGUG